RNAcentral lists this ribosomal RNA (517 nucleotides) under Candida tropicalis. RNAcentral's name for it is "eukaryotic LSU rRNA". The stretch from base 159 to 312 matches the Rfam family "5.8S ribosomal RNA". Lineage: Eukaryota; Fungi; Ascomycota; Pichiomycetes; Serinales; Debaryomycetaceae. The record is from RNAcentral.
UGGUACUGCGGAGACAUUACUGAUUUGCUUAAUUGCACCACAUGUGUUUUUUAUUGAACAAAUUUCUUUGGUGGCGGGAGCAAUCCUACCGCCAGAGGUUAUAACUAAACCAAACUUUUUAUUUACAGUCAAACUUGAUUUAUUAUUACAAUAGUCAAAACUUUCAACAACGGAUCUCUUGGUUCUCGCAUCGAUGAAGAACGCAGCGAAAUGCGAUACGUAAUAUGAAUUGCAGAUAUUCGUGAAUCAUCGAAUCUUUGAACGCACAUUGCGCCCUUUGGUAUUCCAAAGGGCAUGCCUGUUUGAGCGUCAUUUCUCCCUCAAACCCCCGGGUUUGGUGUUGAGCAAUACGCUAGGUUUGUUUGAAAGAAUUUAACGUGGAAACUUAUUUUAAGCGACUUAGGUUUAUCCAAAAACGCUUAUUUUGCUAGUGGCCACCACAAUUUAUUUCAUAACUUUGACCUCAAAUCAGGUAGGACUACCCGCUGAACUUAAGCAUAUCAAUAGCCCGGAGGAA